RNAcentral lists this small RNA (802 nucleotides) under Pan troglodytes (chimpanzee). RNAcentral's name for it is "processed transcript". Lineage: Eukaryota; Metazoa; Chordata; Mammalia; Primates; Hominidae. The record is from RNAcentral.
GCAAAAAGCCCGUCCCAAGCCCUGCAUGGGCUCCUACUGCACUUCAGGAUUUGGGGGAAUGCAGAAUCGUGGUCUUUGAGUUUUCAUUAAUUCAAUAAAGAUUUCUCAAAAGCCUAAAUUCUAGAUCCAAGACAGUGGGAAUUAAACAGGGCUGAAUAUGACGCUAUUGGCUAUACCAGGACCACGCCUGAGCAUUGCAUGCACGCUCCAGCUAUGCAUAACUUAUUUAUUUUAAAAGAAGGAAGGAAGAGAGGGAGGGAAACAAGGUGUUUCUUAAGAGUAGAGGAGGGGAGAGGCAACUUGUUGCUUUCACUGGCAGCAGUUAACUCCAUAAGCAAUUUCCUCACUUAAAAGAAAAACAAAUGAAGUAGAGUGGUAGGCUUUUGAAAGGAGGAGCAGAGAGCUCUGGUGAGUGGAAACCUGGCUUUUAUUUACCUUAGGGCCUUGUUAAAACACAUUUGCCUUGAGAUAAAAGGGUUUCUUUUGGGACGAUCCCAAAAUGACUUUGCUUGAUUCAAUUAAGCAAGACCUAACGAAAGAGAAUUCCAGCUUCAAGAUACGCAUCAUCUCACCAGCAGGCAUGUAUCCAGUAGAUGUGUUGGAAGAUGAUCCUGACGCACAUCAGGAAGCAGCUCUGGCUUACUAUGCCUCAUUUAGGGAAGGAGCUGGGGCCCCAGCUGAGGUUUUCUGUCUUCCCACUGGGGAGAAGGAAGUUUUGGCUGGGUGCAGCGGCUCACGCCUGUAAUCCCAGCAUUUUGGGAGGCAGAGGCGGGCGGAUCACCUGAGGCCAGGAGUUCGAGAC